Molecule: ribosomal RNA, 275 nt
Filed under: uncultured Bacteroidota bacterium
Lineage: Bacteria; Pseudomonadati; Bacteroidota
Description: uncultured Bacteroidetes bacterium partial 16S ribosomal RNA
Rfam family: Bacterial small subunit ribosomal RNA
Source: RNAcentral
AGCAUGGUCUUAGCUUGCUAAGACUGAUGGCGACCGGCGCACGGGUGAGUAACGCGUAUGCAACCUGCCUGAUACCGGGGUAUAGCCCAUGGAAACGUGGAUUAACACCCCAUAGUACUUUUAUCCUGCAUGGGAUGUGAGUUAAAUGUUUAAGGUAUCGGAUGGGCAUGCGUCCUAUUAGUUAGUUGGCGGGGUAACAGCCCACCAAGACGAUGAUAGGUAGGGGUUCUGAGAGGAAGGUCCCCACAUUGGAACUGAGACACGGUCCAAACUCC